This 116-nucleotide ribosomal RNA is filed under the name Microtus ochrogaster (prairie vole). The record is from RNAcentral. Lineage: Eukaryota; Metazoa; Chordata; Mammalia; Rodentia; Cricetidae.
CUACGCAGUGAUACCACCCUGAACGCGCCCGAUCUCGUCUGAUCUCGGAAGCUAAGCAGGGUCAGGCCUGGUUAGUACUUGGAUGGGAGCCCAGAGGAUUUUAAACAAUUUGUCCU